Molecule: ribosomal RNA, 497 nt
Filed under: uncultured bacterium
Lineage: Bacteria
Description: partial 16S ribosomal RNA
Rfam family: Bacterial small subunit ribosomal RNA
Source: RNAcentral
GAUGAACGCUGGCGGCGUGCCUAAUACAUGCAAGUCGAGCGAACAGACGAGGAGCUUGCUCCUCUGACGUUAGCGGCGGACGGGUGAGUAACACGUGGAUAACCUUCCUAUAAGACUGGGAUAACUUCGGGAAACCGGAGCUAAUACCGGAUAAUAUAUUGAACCGCAUGGUUCAAUAGUGAAAGACGGUUUUGCUGUCACUUUUAGAUGGAUCCGCGCCGCAUUAGCUAGUUGGUAAAGUAACGGCUUACCAAGGCAACGAUGCGUAGCCGACCGGAGAGGGUGAUCGGCCCCACUGGAACUGGGACACGGUCCAGACUCCUACGGGAGGCAGCAGUAGGGAAUCUUCCGCCAUGGGCGGAAGCCUGACGGAGCAACGCCGCGUGAGUGAUGAAGGUCUUCGGAUCGUAAAACUCUGUUAUUAGGGAAGAACAAAUGUGUAAGUAACUAUGCACGUCUUGACGGUACCUAAUCAGAAAGCCACGGCUAACUACGUG